Neopsephotus bourkii (Bourke's parrot) is the source of this 309-nucleotide long non-coding RNA. RefSeq lists it as uncharacterized. The transcript has 3 exons. NCBI's taxonomy places the organism in Eukaryota, Metazoa, Chordata, Aves, Psittaciformes, Psittacidae. The record is from RefSeq and is a predicted model, not a curated record.
UAAGGAGCAGGACUGAUCAGCAGCUGCAUGAGAAAUCCUCUUCAAGGAAAGUUGCAGACAGUAAGCUCAGCAGGAGCAGAACUCCUCAAGGUGGUAUACACAGCUGCAUGAACUGGACUCUCUUAGAACUGGACACUGUCCUAAUACAACCUGUGAGCUCCAAAGCUCAGCAACAACCCACUCUCUGCAGCCUCUUCCUGCAUCUGCAACUGUUCCUGUUGCACAGAUUUGACACUUGCCUCUUUAGACAGUGGACCCUCCCCCAUCAAAAUACAACACCCCCCCCCAAAUGCCUCAAACCCAAGAACU